GGAAGACAAAAUGUUCAUUCAAACAAGCUAACUUGACCAAGAAAUUCCAGCUAAUGCACUUAAAAUGCAACGUUGACAAAUUGACAUUAACUGAUAAGUACAAUGACGAUACCACCAAAGCUAUGUUCAUGUCUGCUUCAAAGUACAAAAUCAGAAAAUUACAGAGAAAAACAUUACACUGUAGGUCGAAAGAUCGAAAAUCUGCUCUUUCGUAUCAGAUUCUACUAUUUCUAUCAAGUGGUGUUUGAUGGUUAGAUCCUGAGUUAAAUAUGUACAAUGACUAGUAUUAAUGUUAAAAAACUUGAUAAUAUAAGAUACUCGAGAGCACCAUCGAAUUUUUCCGCUUUUCCCUCCUCUUUCCUUGUUUGUUGUCUCUUGUGAUGUGAUUUUGGAAUUCAUACGAUACAAAUACUUGGAAAACAGAGUCAGUUCACCUUCAGCAUCAUUUUUUUUUCUUCUGAAAGAGGCAGCAUGCAUGCUGAAACUUCCACAUCAGGAAUGGACAGGACUUAGGUCAAACACACCUAACUUUUUCCCCCAUUUUUCUGUAUACAAGUUUUAUGAAUUAAUACUAGUGGGGCCUGCCUUUAUGAAGUAGAGGACUACUUGAUCUCUCUACCAAAAGACUUUAAGUAAAGGUGUAUGAAAUUUGAACUGUAUUAAGGGGGAAAGGAGUGAGAUCCACACUGAAUUUUUGUGUCCCGAGCCUACAGACAGAGUGAUUCGGACUACUUAAUUUCAAUUAUACGAUCACUAUUAGCCUAUUUCAUUGCCUCACUUCACAAAAAUUCAAAAACUUGAAAGGUCCAAAUCUCUUUCUCCCUCUUUGAACAGUCUAGAUCUCUCAGUCAGAGGACUCUGAAUACAGAGUUCUGGACUGGAUCUCAUUCUAGGAGGAAAUACUUAGGUGUCAAUGAGAGUAUGCUUUAUGUGCACUUGGUAUUUUGGGACACAUCUAAUUUUUAAUUGGAGAAAUGCUACAUGGACUCUUUCAAAACAAAGAAAUUUUUUACUAUGCUCAAAACACUAGAUAGUACAUCAUAAAUAUGCGGUGUACCACACUGUAGUUCAAGCAUAUGAAAAAUCUCUUCUCAAAAGAGGAUGCUCUAUUUAACUAUUUGUCAUCUUAUGUUUUUAGCACAAUAUUUUGAAGUGUUGGCACGAGAAUUAACGUUAAACUGUAAAUUAGCAGAGAAUCCACAAAGAGUCCAAAGAGAAUCUCCGUAGAAUUUCUCUUUUAAUGAAUGUGCAAAAACAAAUAGUGCUAACAUUAAUAAUAUGAUAAAUGAAUUCCAAACAGCUAAGCUUGUAUCCCAACAACUAAUUCACAAUGAAGUACUGUAAUGAAAUCCAGCUAAGCUUCACUAUGUAAUAUGUCUACAUAGCAAAUAGAUUAGACUAAAUUUAUUAUUAAUUAAUAAUAAUAAUUAAAAUUAAUUAGUUAAUUAUGUCCAAUUAAAAUAAGCUUCCUAGGGCUCUCUCAUGGGUUAACAUGAUCUGUUUACAUUAUUUGAUUUAAUAAAAUUAUUAAGAAGCUGUCUCUUGCCUUAUAAUUACGUGACAACCAAAAGUAUUUCAUUAUUGUGUCUCCACUAUGUCGCCUCCAAUCGAUCAAGUAUCAAUAAAACAAAUUAAAAAAAAUAAAAAAAAUAAAAAAAACAAACUUUUAAGCUUGAAAUAUUCCCAUCUAAAUAAAAGAAAACUACAAAUUUCGACAAAAGAAAUAAAAAUAAAAAUAAAAGAAAACUACAAAAAUAAAGCAAAAGGUUAAAUAAAAUAUUGAAAGGACAAUUUGUUUUAUGCGGCUAAUUGGGCCGAUUCACUCGCCUUCUACUUUUGAGUCGUAGGACGAGAAACUGUGAGCAUUGUUCUAAAAGCGGCUUAGGCGGUGUCUAGACGCUAGACGGAAGUGAAGUGCUCCAAUUAGGGUUUAAGCAUUUUAGAAAUCGAUGAAGUGUUUAGGCAGCAAUAGAAGGCGUCUAGAUGGUUUUAGGCGGUUUAAUUUAUAUUAUUAUUUAAAUUAAGAGUUUAAACAUAAUUUUCUUGUAAAAUAAUUCUGAACUUUCUGUCUUGUAAGAUAACUUUUAAUACAUGUUUCAUUUUAUGUAUUCAAUCAAUUGUUGACUUAUUUAUAUGUUUUGAUUGUUUAUAAUAAUUUAAUUAAAAUUUAAAAUUCGCCUAGGUCUCUGCCUGUCACCUUACCGCUUUUUAGAACCUUGACUAUGAGAUGUAUAUUUACUUGGAAUGAGGAAGUCUUGAAUUGUUAUGAGAUAAACUAAUACCAUACUCUGAUAUGGUUCUUAAUUUUUUUUAGCUAUUUGAUACCAAUUUUAAGAGUAAUGUUAGGGAGACUAGAUUUCUAAAUGCUGUAAAUUAAAUAGCAUGGGAGUUGAUGAUUGAUUAUUACUUAAACGCUAAUAAACGUGCUCAUUUUCUAUUGCUGACACAUCAUUUGGUUUGCAAAAUUUGUCUACAAAUUUAGUUCCCCUAGCAUCAUUUGCAACACAACAUUUUUAAUGUGGACAUCAAUAAUAGGUGUCGAACUCGCCGUUUAUAACACUUUGAAUCUAAGACCACCCACCAACAAGCGAAGAUAAAUACCACUACAUUGUAGUAUUAAUAGUCUAAUCCAAUGAGAAAGCGACUAACUUACUUACAAUGGGACUAUAUUCCGACUCUCUCGGUCACAUGUGUCAUGUAAUAAGUGACGACUAAGAUAAAGAUAACCGACCAGAACGUAAUAACAUAUCCACGUGACAUGGAAGUUUUUGUCGGGCGAGGGGAUGUUUGUCACACCAGUUGUAUCAACUACUUGAGAUUAAUUUUCACACCAACCAUCCAAGUCACAUUUAUAUCUUUAGGACAUCUCAACUCCAGAACAGAGUACGUUCCCCAGAAAAAGGGAAGACAAAAUGUUCAUUCAAACAAGCUAACUUGACCAAGAAAUUCCAGCUAAUGCACUUAAAAUGCAACGUUGACAAAUUGACAUUAACUGAUAAGUACAAUGACGAUACCACCAAAGCUAUGUUCAUGUCUGCUUCAAAGUACAAAAUCAGAAAAUUACAGAGAAAAACAUUACACUGUAGGUCGAAAGAUCGAAAAUCUGCUCUUUCGUAUAAGAUUCUGCUAUUUCUAUCCAUCCAAACAAUCCAAAUAACUGUCAUGGUCACCGUUCUAAAAAUUCCCGUCUAGCCCCUGUUUAGGUACUACGUAGCUGGUCAACGUCCCCUU
RNAcentral lists this long non-coding RNA (3231 nucleotides) under Malus domestica (apple). Its description in RNAcentral is "long non-coding RNA (MDOM_LNC005329)". Lineage: Eukaryota; Viridiplantae; Streptophyta; Magnoliopsida; Rosales; Rosaceae. The record is from RNAcentral.